Molecule: ribosomal RNA, 520 nt
Filed under: Streptomyces sp. SCAU7015
Lineage: Bacteria; Bacillati; Actinomycetota; Actinomycetes; Kitasatosporales; Streptomycetaceae
Description: bacterial SSU rRNA
Rfam family: Bacterial small subunit ribosomal RNA
Source: RNAcentral
UCGGUGGGGAUUAGUGGCGAACGGGUGAGUAACACGUGGGCAAUCUGCCCUGCACUCUGGGACAAGCCCUGGAAACGGGGUCUAAUACCGGAUAUUGACCUUCACGGGCAUCUGUGAGGUUCGAAAGCUCCGGCGGUGCAGGAUGAGCCCGCGGCCUAUCAGCUUGUUGGUGAGGUAAUGGCUCACCAAGGCGACGACGGGUAGCCGGCCUGAGAGGGCGACCGGCCACACUGGGACUGAGACACGGCCCAGACUCCUACGGGAGGCAGCAGUGGGGAAUAUUGCACAAUGGGCGAAAGCCUGAUGCAGCGACGCCGCGUGAGGGAUGACGGCCUUCGGGUUGUAAACCUCUUUCAGCAGGGAAGAAGCGAAAGUGACGGUACCUGCAGAAGAAGCGCCGGCUAACUACGUGCCAGCAGCCGCGGUAAUACGUAGGGCGCAAGCGUUGUCCGGAAUUAUUGGGCGUAAAGAGCUCGUAGGCGGCUUGUCACGUCGGUUGUGAAAGCCCGGGGCUUAACCC